UGGGGAAUUUUGGACGAAUUGGGCGAAAGCCUGAAUCCAGCAAUGCCGCGUGUGUGAAGAAGGCCUUCGGGUUGUAAAGCACUUUUGCCCGGAAAGAAAUCCUUGGCUCUAAUACAGUCGGGGGAUGACGGUACCGGAAGAAUAAGCACCGGCUAACUACGUGCCAGCAGCCGCGGUAAUACGUAGGGUGCAAGCGUUAAUCGGAAUUACUGGGCGUAAAGCGUGCGCAGGCGGUUUGCUAAGACCGAUGUGAAAUCCCCGGGCUCAACCUGGGAACUGCAUUGGUGACUGGCAGGCUAGAGUAUGGCAGAGGGGGGUAGAAUUCCACGUGUAGCAGUGAAAUGCGUAGAGAUGUGGAGGAAUACCGAUGGCGAAGGCAGCCCCCUGGCAAGUACUGACGCUCAUGCACGAAAGCGUGGGGAGCAAACNGGAUUAAUCCCUGGUAGUCCACGCCCU
RNAcentral lists this ribosomal RNA (456 nucleotides) under uncultured bacterium. RNAcentral describes it as "partial 16S ribosomal RNA". It matches the Rfam family "Bacterial small subunit ribosomal RNA", at positions 355 to 803 of the family's 1533-position model. The record is from RNAcentral.